CCACCCACGGCAACAAAUUCCAAUUGUGUGUAACAUUCAAUGCAAUUGAGCCGACGCCGUGGGAAAUCACUUUCGUGGAACCAUUUGAUCCCACGCUCGUUACUGUUAAUGAUUGUGGUUUGCACGUGGUUUACAAUU
Caenorhabditis elegans is the source of this 138-nucleotide small nucleolar RNA. The record is from Ensembl. NCBI's taxonomy places the organism in Eukaryota, Metazoa, Nematoda, Chromadorea, Rhabditida, Rhabditidae.